Molecule: long non-coding RNA, 1114 nt
Filed under: Scleropages formosus (Asian bonytongue)
Lineage: Eukaryota; Metazoa; Chordata; Actinopteri; Osteoglossiformes; Osteoglossidae
Description: lncRNA (ENSSFOG00015027695.1)
Source: RNAcentral
AUCCCCCUUCACAAUCAGUCAGAACUAUCCCCCUCAUUAGGGGCUUGAGCUGCGCGCGCGUAUGUGUGUGUGUGUGUGUGUGGGGAGGCUGAGCGGAGCCCAUUGAUUAUUUUAAUCCGCCUAUUUGUGAGUGUGUGAUCCUCGCGGCUGUACCUUCGACAGGGGAAUCGCUAAUGGGCCUCGGCGCUCCCGCCUCAGACCUCUCCCUGUCCAAUUAGCUCUCCUCCGCGCGCCGCCGCGGCGCGAGCUGCAGCGCGAGCCGCGGCCGCCGCCUCCCUCCGACCCCCACAGGCGGCACGUUCACCAAAGCCUGUAAGUCCAGAACGCCAUUAACUUCGCUUUUAAUUAACGCGCCCCUCCUCUUCCAAAAGAAUAUAGCCCGCGCCAUUCUGUCUGCAGUUGAGCUCUGCAGCAGCCUGCUUCGACUCGUAAAAGUCGGAACUUCUUAAUUUUUUUUUUUUUUGCGACAGCUGGUUCUUACCACAGUGUGUGGGUGCCGCGCGCCCAGUAGCUAAGUGUAAAAUUAGCUUUUAAUGUCUUUCAUCCUCGAGGCAACUCCUCGGCGCACACGCGUGGAGACAUUUUAGGCAACGCGGCUCUGAAGCGCUGAGACAAGAAGAAGAAAACAAAAAAAUGGAGGCAAAUCCAAAUGGUGAUGAUUUUACCUGUUUCAGGCACGUACAAACACUUGUCUGGAUUGAUUGCGGAUGCUAGGAGUUGUCACAUUUCUUGCCCACUCUGCCAAGUUAUAGACAAAGGAAAAGCCAAACAGAAAGUGAUAGAGGAUGUUAACUGUUCCUUUAAAAUGUCCACAUCUGUGCAUAGACUGAAUUUGUCACAUAUAGAGCUUGAACCAUGAUGUGCAGUAGUGGCAUGGUUGUGUCUUUAGAACAUGCAGCCUCGGGUUGUUUUGCUUCUGGGAACUACAUCAAACCUCUAUGUACAGCUACAUUAGCCUGUACAACAUGUGGCCAGUCCUUGUCCAAAUCCAGCGGUUUUUACAAGAGACAUUUUAGUUGUUGCUUGAUUUACAGCUGAAAUACAAGGUUAUUUGACUAACUAUUCAGAUAAUUACUUCAAUAAAGUACUUAAGAGCUGAAGUAAGGAGAAAAGC